This 299-nucleotide unclassified non-coding RNA is filed under the name Glomus sp. RNAcentral's name for it is "partial contains 5.8S ribosomal RNA, internal transcribed spacer 2, and large subunit ribosomal RNA". The stretch from base 1 to 65 matches the Rfam family "5.8S ribosomal RNA", at positions 84 to 154 of the family's 154-position model. The record is from RNAcentral. Lineage: Eukaryota; Fungi; Glomeromycota; Glomeromycetes; Glomerales; Glomeraceae.
GUGAAUCAUCAAAUUUUUGAACGCAAAUUGCACUCUCUUCGGAGAGUAUGCCUGUUUGUGGGUGAUUAAAAAUAAUACUUAACAAAUUUUUUUGGUCUAAGGAUAUGAGUUCUACCCGUUUAUAGCGGUAACUUGAAAUAAAUGGUCAAGUCUCAUUUUAGCCGAGACGCGUAUUAAUAUUAUUUCGCUACAUCUUCAUUAUGUGACUAUCAAGUUUUGAUGCAUACACAUUUGGUUUGUAUGCGAUCACUACAAAUAUUUUGAACAUUACCUCAAAUCAGGUAGUAGUACCCGCUGAA